UACGAAGGGGGCUAGCGUUGCUCGGAAUCACUGGGCGUAAAGGGCGCGUAGGCGGAUCUUUAAGUCGGGGGUGAAAGCCCAGGGCUCAACCCUGGAAUUGCCUUCGAUACUGAAGAUCUCGAGACCGGAAGAGGUAAGUGGAACUGCGAGUGUAGAGGUGAAAUUCGUAGAUAUUCGCAAGAACACCAGUGGCGAAGGCGGCUUACUGGUCCGGUUCUGACGCUGAGGCGCGAAAGCGUGGGGAGCGAUCCGG
RNAcentral lists this ribosomal RNA (253 nucleotides) under uncultured bacterium. RNAcentral describes it as "partial 16S ribosomal RNA". It matches the Rfam family "Bacterial small subunit ribosomal RNA", at positions 524 to 776 of the family's 1533-position model. The record is from RNAcentral.